RNAcentral lists this long non-coding RNA (2397 nucleotides) under Panax ginseng (ginseng). RNAcentral's name for it is "long non-coding RNA (PGIN_LNC017661)". The record is from RNAcentral. Lineage: Eukaryota; Viridiplantae; Streptophyta; Magnoliopsida; Apiales; Araliaceae.
UUCUUCUAAUAAGUUCAUAUAUGAUAUGAUGGAAAGUUCAUAUGGUUUUUCGUAGUAUAACUGUAUAAGAAUAAAGAUUAAAAGAUAAUUUGCAUCCUAAAUUUUAUAUAAAUGUUGACAUUUGCACCUUAAAUUAAAAAAAAAUAUCUAAGUACAUUCUAAACUUUAGUUAUACUUGAUAAAAGGGACACUUUUUUCAGUUAAUCAAUCAAAAUAACCGACUAUAAAUAUUACAGAGGAGUACUUUUUAUAGUUUACAUUUAUGCCAAAUUUACGUUAAAUAUGCACUGGUUAUUUACUUGUGUUGGUUAUCAACGAAAAAUCUCCAAAUUAAUUGGUCUAGGAUUCGCGAUCUGAAGGAGAAGUGGGACUGAAUCAAUUUGAGCUUUAGUAGCAUGUAUGAAAUUGAUACCAUAGCUGUCGAUCAAUCUCCGGCAUAAACUCUCAAAAAUUCGGCGAAACCCACCAGUAAACAGUCAUUUACAAGGGAGUCCGAUCCAACACAACUAAAUCCUAAAUCAGUACCAAUCAACAGUACCGUCAUUGAAACCAUUCUGAAAUGAGAAAAAGAUAAGUAGAGCAACCAAAAAUCUAGAAUAGAUAAAAACGGAUAAACCCAUCCGAGCAAAUUAAUCCACCAGAAUUAAACCCAAAACAAUGCGGCAAGAACCAGUAAUUUCGACAGAGAGAACACCCCAAACCAAAAUAAUAAACAAUAAACAAAAGGGGAGACAACAUAUACAAUCAUUCUUAAUCUGAGCAUGACCACAAAAUAAAAACAUUAGAUACAAUAUAGAAAUCAGACUAAAACAAACAAACGGAUCUUAAUAGCCCUUUCCGAGAACCGAAACCACCUAUUUGGCAAGACCUAUUCCAGAUCAGAUAAAGAGAUGAUUAGAUCUGAAGAUAACCAUCGACCAAAAGCACUUCAAAUCGGAAUUCGACCAAGAAAUCACAUCACACGAAAAUUAGAUUUUGAAAUUGAAAAAGAUAGAAUAAUUUUCAAGGAGAAAACCUAGCAAGGAUGAAGGAAACAGAUCCUUGUAGGACUGAGCAUUCGGUUAAUAACCGAACCGAACCACAAGUUCGGUUAUAACCGAUACCCGAACAAACACUGUUUUAGAUAUCCGAAUAAACAACCGAAUUUUACACUAACCGAAUAAUCGUAUAACCGAAUAACCGAAUGGGUUAUUCAGUUAAAAACUGAAUUAAAAAACUAGCAGCAAAUUCGUAAAUUGUUGAUCACAGUACUAUAAACUUAUGAGAACCCAGAUCACAAAUGUUGACAGAAUUCAAAGUUCGUGAAGACCACCACAUUGAAUUAACUUAUCAUUGCUCAAACAAAUUAAAUUAUGAAAAAAAAUAAGCCCCAUUACCUGCGAAUCCAGGAACUGGAAAAACACCGAGAAUUAUAAAGUAGGCAAUCAACAGUUGCAUUCUCAUCUCCCACCAAAGAAACAUGAGAUCAACCCUCAAGAUCUUUGAUCCCUNNNNNNNNNNNNNNNNNNNNNNNNNNNNNNNNNNNNNNNNNNNNNNNNNNNNNNNNNNNNNNNNNNNNNNNNNNNNNNNNNNNNNNNNNNNNNNNNNNNNAGAUCAACCCUCAAGAUUUUUUGAUCCUUCUAGCCCAACCAUUAACACACAGAAUUUGCAUAUAAUACAGUAAUACAAAGCAUGUUCAAUUCGUUAAAAGCAAAAAGAAGCACAAGUUUUUAGAUAAAAGAACACCAAGAAACAGUAGUAUAUGUGAAGUAAUAAGAGUAGUGAAAACACAAGAAUGGAUUAGGUGGGAAUUAAGAAACCCAAUUGUAAUAAUUGCUCUUUAGUUGAAGCUAAGCUCUGAAUUUUACAGAGCUUUUGAGAGAUGUAAUGAAAUUAAAGCAAAAACAGAGUAUAGUUUCACAAUGAAAAAGGGGUUUGACAGGAGAGAGAAGGAGAAAGGGAGGAAAAUAUUCUCCCGAAAGAAUUAAGGGGUGUGACACGUUAGUUGAUAUUUGAGAUCUGAUCUGAGAGAGAGAUAUUGAGACUGAGCCCUGAGGAGUGAGGUCUGACCGUCUGAGACUCAGAGUUCGAGUCUGAGAUCUGAUCUGAGAGUGCUUGAGUCCUUGCUUGACCUUGAGUCCUUGAGUCUUGACUGCUGAGAGUGCUGACUGCUGAGAAUUUUCAAGUUAGUAAAGUGGGGUUCGGUUAUUCGAUUUAACCGAAUAACGCAAAAAUGAUACCCGGACAACCUAACCGAAAAUCGAAAAAAAAUUCGGAUAUAAGCGAAAUAUUAAAAAUAACUGAAUUAUCAGAAACAUUCGAAUAUUUUAUUUCGGUUCGUUAAUUCGGUUAUACCCAUUUUUUGCUCAGUCCUAAAUCCUUGCAUUGACCACCAACAGCACUUCGGCAACAACAAAC